This 2339-nucleotide ribosomal RNA is filed under the name Salmonella enterica subsp. enterica serovar Typhimurium. RNAcentral's name for it is "bacterial LSU rRNA". It matches the Rfam family "Bacterial large subunit ribosomal RNA", at positions 690 to 2925 of the family's 2925-position model. Lineage: Bacteria; Pseudomonadati; Pseudomonadota; Gammaproteobacteria; Enterobacterales; Enterobacteriaceae. The record is from RNAcentral.
GGGCGUUAAGUUGCAGGGUAUAGACCCGAAACCCGGUGAUCUAGCCAUGGGCAGGUUGAAGGUUGGGUAACACUAACUGGAGGACCGAACCGACUAAUGUUGAAAAAUUAGCGGAUGACCUGUGGCUGGGGGUGAAAGGCCAAUCAAACCGGGAGAUAGCUGGUUCUCCCCGAAAGCUAUUUAGGUAGCGCCUCGUGAAUUCAUCUCCGGGGGUAGAGCACUGUUUCGGCUAGGGGGCCAUCCCGGCUUACCAACCCGAUGCAAACUGCGAAUACCGGAGAAUGUUAUCACGGGAGACACACGGCGGGUGCUAACGUCCGUCGUGAAGAGGGAAACAACCCAGACCGCCAGCUAAGGUCCCAAAGUCAUGGUUAAGUGGGAAACGAUGUGGGAAGGCCCAGACAGCCAGGAUGUUGGCUUAGAAGCAGCCAUCAUUUAAAGAAAGCGUAAUAGCUCACUGGUCGAGUCGGCCUGCGCGGAAGAUGUAACGGGGCUAAACCAUGCACCGAAGCUGCGGCAGCGAACGUAUCACCCAAGACAACUUUGCGGAGUUGACGAUUGACGGAGCGAAGCGACGUCAAAGCGUUCAUUAAAGUCGAGUUGGCUUAGGGAUACGUUCGUUGGGUAGGGGAGCGUUCUGUAAGCCUGUGAAGGUGGCCUGUGAGGGUUGCUGGAGGUAUCAGAAGUGCGAAUGCUGACAUAAGUAACGAUAAAGCGGGUGAAAAGCCCGCUCGCCGGAAGACCAAGGGUUCCUGUCCAACGUUAAUCGGGGCAGGGUGAGUCGACCCCUAAGGCGAGGCCGAAAGGCGUAGUCGAUGGGAAACGGGUUAAUAUUCCCGUACUUGGUGUUACUGCGAAGGGGGGACGGAGAAGGCUAUGUUGGCCGGGCGACGGUUGUCCCGGUUUAAGCGUGUAGGUGUGUGUUCCAGGUAAAUCCGGUUCACUUUAACACUGAGGCGUGACGACGAGGCACUACGGUGCUGAAGCAACAAAUGCCCUGCUUCCAGGAAAAGCCUCUAAGCAUCAGGUAACAUCAAAUCGUACCCCAAACCGACACAGGUGGUCAGGUAGAGAAUACCAAGGCGCUUGAGAGAACUCGGGUGAAGGAACUAGGCAAAAUGGUGCCGUAACUUCGGGAGAAGGCACGCUGACACGUAGGUGAAGUGAUUUACUCAUGGAGCUGAAGUCAGUCGAAGAUACCAGCUGGCUGCAACUGUUUAUUAAAAACACAGCACUGUGCAAACACGAAAGUGGACGUAUACGGUGUGACGCCUGCCCGGUGCCGGAAGGUUAAUUGAUGGGGUCAGCGCAAGCGAAGCUCCUGAUCGAAGCCCCGGUAAACGGCGGCCGUAACUAUAACGGUCCUAAGGUAGCGAAAUUCCUUGUCGGGUAAGUUCCGACCUGCACGAAUGGCGUAAUGAUGGCCAGGCUGUCUCCACCCGAGACUCAGUGAAAUUGAACUCGCUGUGAAGAUGCAGUGUACCCGCGGCAAGACGGAAAGACCCCGUGAACCUUUACUAUAGCUUGACACUGAACAUUGAGCCUUGAUGUGUAGGAUAGGUGGGAGGCUUUGAAGUGUGGACGCCAGUCUGCAUGGAGCCGACCUUGAAAUACCACCCUUUAAUGUUUGAUGUUCUAACGUGGACCCGUAAUCCGGGUUGCGGACAGUGUCUGGUGGGUAGUUUGACUGGGGCGGUCUCCUCCUAAAGAGUAACGGAGGAGCACGAAGGUUGGCUAAUCCUGGUCGGACAUCAGGAGGUUAGUGCAAUGGCAUAAGCCAGCUUGACUGCGAGCGUGACGGCGCGAGCAGGUGCGAAAGCAGGUCAUAGUGAUCCGGUGGUUCUGAAUGGAAGGGCCAUCGCUCAACGGAUAAAAGGUACUCCGGGGAUAACAGGCUGAUACCGCCCAAGAGUUCAUAUCGACGGCGGUGUUUGGCACCUCGAUGUCGGCUCAUCACAUCCUGGGGCUGAAGUAGGUCCCAAGGGUAUGGCUGUUCGCCAUUUAAAGUGGUACGCGAGCUGGGUUUAGAACGUCGUGAGACAGUUCGGUCCCUAUCUGCCGUGGGCGCUGGAGAACUGAGGGGGGCUGCUCCUAGUACGAGAGGACCGGAGUGGACGCAUCACUGGUGUUCGGGUUGUCAUGCCAAUGGCACUGCCCGGUAGCUAAAUGCGGAAGAGAUAAGUGCUGAAAGCAUCUAAGCACGAAACUUGCCCCGAGAUGAGUUCUCCCUGAGACUUAGAGUCUCCUGAAGGAACGUUGAAGACGACGACGUUGAUAGGCCGGGUGUGUAAGCGCAGCGAUGCGUUGAGCUAACCGGUACUAAUGAACCGUGAGGCUUA